GGGAAUGUAGCUCAGCGGAUAGAGCGCCGUGUGUGGUGGAAGGUUGAGAGUUCGAGUCUCUCAAGAUAUACUCUUAGCUUAACGGGAGAGCACCACAAACGGUAGUCGGUGGUUCGAAUCCACCUGUUCCCA
This 132-nucleotide transfer RNA is filed under the name Caudoviricetes sp. RNAcentral's name for it is "tRNA-OTHER". It matches the Rfam family "tRNA". Rfam says of the family: Transfer RNA (tRNA) molecules are approximately 80 nucleotides in length. Their secondary structure includes four short double-helical elements and three loops (D, anti-codon, and T loops). The record is from RNAcentral. Lineage: Duplodnaviria; Heunggongvirae; Uroviricota; Caudoviricetes.